CAGGCACCUAUAUGUAGGAACGCGAUCACUGCCUGGAUGUGCUACCUCCUAUCUCUCCCGGCUUCCGGGACGUGUAUUAGUUUGGGGUGGAUGCCCGCUUGGCUGGUGUAGCCACCAUCAGGUGAAUGCUCUCUUCAGUAAGAGUGUGGUCUGUUCUGUUGGCGUUGAGGCCGGUGUAGCACUGUUGAGCCUGGUGCCUGCCUUAAAGCAGCGUGAGCAGUGUGGUCGGAGCUAGCAGCGCCUCCUCGUCUUCUCCUCAACUUGAUCAAGAGCAAAACCUUUUUUUUUACAUCGAUGUACGACGUCGGCUGGCAUCUCCCAAGUGUCUCCACACCACAACAAGGCUGCUGUUCUGUCUUACGUUAAGUUCUCCAUAAUGACUUGAUGUGGGCUUAUUGUUCGCUCUGCUAAUUGUUGGUUCUGUCUGGUUCUGGUAUUGUCUGCCUUACCGACUGGGAUUAAGUGUGCAUACUUCAUGUUGUCUUAGUGUACUGCAUGUCUAAGUCUGCUGGGCCGUGUGGUGCCUAUUUUGCAUGUUUAAUUGUGUGCUUGCUUUUCUUUAUGUGCAUGUGGCUCUUGUGUUAAUUUUUGGUUGUUGAUCCUGUGCUUCCCUCUUUCAAUCCUUGUUCAAUGCAUGAACUGCAUGGCUUGUGCUGCAUGCGCAAUUCAUCCCCAUUGUAACUAUCCCAGAUAGCAAAAAGUAUUUGGCCCGGAUCCGGCCCAGAUCCACCUUACGAUCUGGGCCGGUUCCGCAAAACGGAUCUGGGCCGGUGUCUUUUGGCACAACGGGCCAAUACCGUUCCGGAUCCGUUUUCAUGAUCUGGCCCAGCUCUGGAACGGCUCUGAACCGGAUGUGUUUUUUAUGAGGCGGAUCUGGGCCGGUGUCUUUUUGGCACAACGGGCCAAUACCGUUCCAGAUCCGUUUUCAUGAUCUGGCCCAGCUCUGAAACAGCUCUGAACCGGAUGUGUUUUUUAUGAGGCGGAUCUGGGCCGUAUUUGGGCCAAAUGUACAAAUUAUUGCAAUGAUCUGGGCCAGAUCCGGCCCAAAUAAGUAUUCGAUAGUGGCGAUUCCGGCCCUUAUUUGGCCCAAAUGUGGACCGGCUCUUGCCUCGGCCAACUCAUUUUACGUCUGGCACCCAUGUGUACUAAAUAUUAAAUGUCACUAACAAAUCAAGCAGUUAUAGUAGGCUAUUUGUUGUUUGUUAAGAUUGUCAAAUCUAUAAACGAUUACCAAUAAUGUUUUUUAAACAGUAACAUCUAACAUCUAAUACCCCUAGUUUGACUCAGUAGUCAGAUCGUGUAUAUUGAGUGUUCAUUCAAAGAUGUUACUGAUAAUUUAUCUAAAAAUCAAAACCUUGUACUCUUAAGAAACAUAUUUCAGAAAAGAAGCAAAAUUCUAAAUUUUACUAUAUUUAUUAUAUAAAUAGAAUC
This is a long non-coding RNA of Sardina pilchardus (European sardine), 1431 nucleotides long. RefSeq lists it as uncharacterized. NCBI's taxonomy places the organism in Eukaryota, Metazoa, Chordata, Actinopteri, Clupeiformes, Clupeidae. The transcript has 4 exons. The record is from RefSeq and is a predicted model, not a curated record.